Molecule: ribosomal RNA, 322 nt
Filed under: Conothele sp. MYG533
Lineage: Eukaryota; Metazoa; Arthropoda; Arachnida; Araneae; Ctenizidae
Description: partial 12S ribosomal RNA
Source: RNAcentral
UAUAGAAGAAAAAAGGUAAUACUAUUAAAGGAAACCUUUAUUUUUUGGCGGCCCAUUUUCUUUUUAGAGGAACUCGUCUCAUAAUCGUCACUCCUCGUUAAUUUUCACUUUUUUUAUUUUCUCUUAUACCGCCGUCUAAAGAUUAAAUUAUUUUUUCAAAAUAAAGAAAAUUUUCUAAGUCAGGUAAAGGUGAGGAACAUAAAAAAGAGAAGAUAAGUUACUUAUAAAAUUUAUUUUUGGAUAUAUUCUUAACAAUCUAUUGAAAGAGGAUUUAACAGUAAUUUUUUAUUAAUUUUUUAUAAUGAACAAGUAAAAUAGGUGU